UUUAAGGAUAUUUAAGGAUAUGGUCAGACAGACAUGUGUUCAAAGAUAGAAUUUACUACCUAGCAGUUGUUAUCCUAAGUCCUUGUCAACUUUCCAAUUAAUAAAAUGAGGAUACACACAUACUAGCCUAAAGGGAGCAUGUCAUGCAUUAUGUGAAUGGAAGUCUCUAUCCUUGGAUAUGCCAUGAAAAGAUUGAUGGGGGCAUCCACUCUCAAAUACAGACAGCCAGAAGGAAAGUGGCAAGUACAAAGCAGUUUAUUAAACUGAAAGGACACUCUCAAGUGCUUUGAAACCUGCCUGUGUCUGACAUCUGCAAAAUCCACUUUGGGGAGACUCCGAAGUGUACCUCAAAGCAACAAGUAUUUAUCCAUAACAAUAGUGACCAGCAUUGAUUUAUUUUUGCCGUUAAGCAUUUUGAUUGAAUUCUAAAACAUGAACAGUGGUUUGAUUGAA
Molecule: long non-coding RNA, 453 nt
Organism: Mustela erminea (ermine)
Lineage: Eukaryota; Metazoa; Chordata; Mammalia; Carnivora; Mustelidae
Exons: 3
Source: RefSeq, a predicted model, not a curated record